RNAcentral lists this transfer RNA (91 nucleotides) under Campylobacterota bacterium. Its description in RNAcentral is "Epsilonproteobacteria bacterium tRNA-Ser". It matches the Rfam family "tRNA". From Rfam's summary of the family: Transfer RNA (tRNA) molecules are approximately 80 nucleotides in length. The record is from RNAcentral. Lineage: Bacteria; Pseudomonadati; Campylobacterota.
GGGUCGAGUGUCCGAGUGGCCGAUGGUGCAACCUUGGAAAGGUUGUGUAGGUGCAAAUCUACCGAGAGUUCGAAUCUCUCCCGAACCACCA